CGUGGAGACAGGUGGUGCAUGGCUGUCGUCAGCUCGUGUCGUGAGGUGUUGGGUUAAGUCCCGCAACGAGCGCAACCCUCACCCCUUGUUGUCAACAGGUCACGCUGGGCACUCUAGGGGAACUGCCCCGGUCAACGGGGAGGAAGGCGGGGAUGACGUCAAGUCAUCAUGCCCCUUACGCCCUGGGCAACACACGUGCUACAAUGGCUGGUACAAAGGGAUGCAAGACCGCGAGGUGGAGCUAAUCCCAAAAAACCAGUCUAAGUUCAGAUUGCAGUCUGCAACUCGACUGCAUGAAGGAGGAAUCGCUAGUAAUCGCGCAUCAGCACGGCGCGGUGAAUACGUUCCCGGGCCUUGUACACACCGCCCGUCACACCACGAAAGCCGGCUGUACUCGAAGUCGCUGAG
Molecule: ribosomal RNA, 408 nt
Filed under: uncultured Methylomirabilota bacterium
Lineage: Bacteria; Methylomirabilota (SeqCode)
Description: bacterial SSU rRNA
Rfam family: Bacterial small subunit ribosomal RNA
Source: RNAcentral